UGACGCUGGCGGCAUGCCUUACACAUGCAAGUCGAACGGCAGCACGGGAGCUUGCUCCUGGUGGCGAGUGGCGAACGGGUGAGUAAUAUAUCGGAACGUACCCUAGAGUGGGGGAUAACGCAGCGAAAGUUGCGCUAAUACCGCAUACGAUCUACGGAUGAAAGUGGGGGAUCGCAAGACCUCAUGCUCAUGGAGCGGCCGAUAUCUGAUUAGCUAGUUGGUGGGGUAAAGGCCUACCAAGGCAUCGAUCAGUAGCUGGUCUGAGAGGACGACCAGCCACACUGGAACUGAGACACGGUCCAGACUCCUACGGGAGGCAGCAGUGGGGAAUUUUGGACAAUGGGGGCAACCCUGAUCCAGCAAUGCCGCGUGAGUGAAGAAGGCCUUCGGGUUGUAAAGCUCUUUUGUCAGGGAAGAAACGGUGAGGGCUAAUAUCCUUUGCUAAUGACGGUACCUGAAGAAUAAGCACCGGCUAACUACGUGCCAGCAGCCGCGGUAAUACGUAGGGUGCAAGCGUUAAUC
Molecule: ribosomal RNA, 522 nt
Filed under: beta proteobacterium C23
Lineage: Bacteria; Pseudomonadati; Pseudomonadota; Betaproteobacteria
Description: bacterial SSU rRNA
Rfam family: Bacterial small subunit ribosomal RNA
Source: RNAcentral